CUCAGUAUGAAUGGUGUAGCUUCAGGAGGACUGCUCUCAUGCACAAAGUACCCAAGUUUGUGAAGAGAAACAGAAAGAGAGAGAGAGAGAGAGAGAGAGAGAGAGAGGGGGGCAGGUAGAGCGCGCGCAAACUUGUAUGCUGUGAGUUUAGGGGGAUUUUUUUUUUUAGUCCGCAGUGCACAACUUUCAAAGCCUGAAAAUGUCAGUGUCAAAUAUUGGUGCAAAAGCGCGCUUUGCAAAAGUUGGAGGAGGUUGAAAAGAGAAAGAAAAAGACGUGCAGAGUUUGCUCAUGGCUGUCAGUGAUGUGGGGUAAGUCUGCACAUUUAUUCUCUUUUAUGAAUCAAACGCAUGAAAGUGAGAUGAGUCUUCCACUUCACAGCUGGGCGCUCUUCAAAGUCCAAACGAGGAAGCAGUUUAUGUGACUUUGGCAGAUAUCCAGACUGUGAACUCGCAACUUUACAGCGCUAUUUCAACACUUAUUUCCAGUCAUUUAGACUUUUUGGAUCUAUGGUAAGAGGUAUGAGGGCCAUGCAGCAGAACUCGGCCAUGCGUAAUGGGCGGGUUCAGCAAAGAUAAAAGGAAGUAUGUGGUAUCAGACAGAGAUAGUAACACGGUCUUCCUCUUCCUUCUCUAAAAUUUUCAAGGGUUUUGAAUGACUUGGCCUGCAACGCUUUCCUAUGACCUGGUUGCAGCAUGUUUGCAGUUUUCCUCUGAAAGCUCAAGGUAUAGGCGCACAAGAAGGGCCUUAUGCGCAACACCCGGAAUGAAAACUCUCAGAAAUGUCCUUGUGAUCCUUCUGAUAGUCGGUGAUAUUUUAGUUUGAUCCGGAUCGGUAUGUUGACUUGGCUGGUGAGCGUCACCUCCCGGAAAGAGCCUUGAUGCUAGAAUGCAGUGGGCGUCACUUAAAUACUUUAUAAAAUGCCUCAGGAUGAAGUCACUGGCAGAUGCUGCGUUCAAAUGCUGCUGGGAACGAGAAGAACUCCCACAGUGUGAUUGUACCUCAGAAAUAAGACUCCAAAGACACCCACAAGAGAACAAAACUCACUCACAUUGUCAUUUUGAGUGGUUUGAAUAAGAAAAUGUCUGCGCAAUUGGUUCAUACGGGUAGAUAAAAUCAAACAUAUAAUUCCAAUUUGAAAGAAGCUGCAGUUUGUGACAACUGAAUUGGCAAGGAUUCAAAACUAAACUCUUUUAGGUUACAAAGACCCAUCUAUACCUCACUUAUCCAGAGUACCUUCUUUUUAAAGCACAGGCACUAAACAAACCCAAUUCAAGGUCCAAACUGCCAAACUUCCUGCAUCAGUAAACCUAAAACCAGUUAUUUUAAAAACAGACAUGAUUUCCUCUUCUGUAUCUUGUGAAAAUCUACUGACUGAUGAUCUGAUUAUAACUGCUUUGUGUUUGCAGUGGUAUGCAGCUAAUAUCCGCAGUAAUUGAGACCACUGACUUCACACAAAAUGGACAUGUCCCUGUUUGGCCCAGUGUGAAAUAUUAAGCCAGAGGACCGCCUUAGUAGGUGCAGUCAUAUUGCGCUGGUGCAGCCAAGGAAUGUUCUAAAGCAACCUGGCAGGUAGAACUGCAGGACAGAUGUCCCACCCUUUCUGCCAAGCCAAACAGGUAUUCAAGCCACUGAUAAAACAGUGAAGGUCCCUCGGGUCAUUUCAGAGCACGGAAAACAGAUUCUUGUGUUGAUUUGAAGCUGAAACCUUUGGCUGUGGUAAAUUCAACAACUCUUGCGUUUGAGUUGUGUUUUUUCUCUGUGUAUACUGUAUAUGCUGAUCUGGUAAGGGACACUUUUCAAAACAAAAGUGUACUUUGACAUAAAUCAGAUUGAUAUGAACUGACUAUAAUGACAGAGACCAUGUUUGAGGAAACUUAAUUCAACAUGCAUUUAAAAUUUGUAGUUAGGCCCAUGUUCCAUCAUUUGUCAGUAGAGGGAGCUCUAAAUCUUUUGGCCUCAUGGUUAAUGAACACUUAUGGCAUCCAUUACAAAAUACAGUCUAUGGUUUAGCAACCAUAACACUAGCUGUCAGGACUGAUCCAAGACACAGACAUAUAUAAGAAAGGCUAGAUGAGUCGGAGUCACUGGCGUCCGCUUAUGGCGGCCAUCUUACUUCAGUAUACCAUUCUGGUAUAUUGUAUGGUAGCUGAUGGAAGGUGAGUAAUUUGCAUCAUCAAAAAUACUCUUAACUCGCUGAAAUCUUGACAGAUUUACAACAGUUUUGUUUAUUACAUACCUUAAUAAUGUGGCUAUGAGUCGGGAUGCUUGGACAUAUUGAAUAUUAAAAUCAUUCUUGAGUAUGCAGAAGCGUAACUAAAAUUCUGAGGUUUGUUACAAACCAAACUGUUUGAUCAUCGGUUUAAAGUUAAGCAAUUUAUGGUUAAUUAAAUGCUACAUGCACCGUAGACUUUAAUGUUAUGAGUGGGUGAGCUGCCUGGAGCAAGAUGGUCGCCUUGUGCGGACGUCAGUCUCCAUUGGCUAACAGUGUGCGUAAUGCAUCUAGCGCGUAUGUAUAUAUACAUAUCUGAUCCAAGAUGCACUGAUAGCAGCACUUAAGUGUGCAGUGGUUCACAUACAGUCAGCUUGUUAACUUUCUGCUUGAUUUGUGGAUUUACUGAUGAAGAGGUUGCAUGUUUUGUUGAUGUUGAAUAUUAAAAACUGAUAGAAUAAGAACCCUGUAACUCCAGCAAAGCUCAUGUGAUUUUAUCUGAACAUUUUAUUCCAAAUGACAGUGAUAUUAGCAUUUCCUUCUCUGUUUGCCCUUUGCUAUUACUGGAUGUAAAAGCUAACACAAACCUCAACCCUAACCUGCCAUAAAUACACAGACCCAUUUUCAUUAAGACAGAGUGUUAAUAUUCAGUAAAUUGGCCAAAGAUGAUAGUCACAGGCUACUUUUCCCUUCCUAUUGUUACAACACCACUUCCUUUUUCCACGUUUUGAAUAUAAGAGUGUAGGUGAACUCUAUAAGGUGGUGUGGAGUGUGUGGGUGGGAGUUUCAUUAUUAGUGACAUGGGGUUCCCCUGCCCCUGUUUCCUUCAUUCAUGUGGCUGGAGAUUGAAGGGUAUUGAGCUGUCAACCCGGAUGUGAGCUGAGCAUUCAGUGGUUGUGUUUGAGGGACAGAGGAGGAGAGACUGUACAUGAGUGAGAGUUAGCAAGAGAGAGGCAGAGACAGUGUCAGUGUGAGUGACAGGGGAACAGAAAAUGUGUGUGCGUAAGCGUAAAACAAACGUAUGUGUCUGUGUGGGUGAGAAACAUGCUCAAUCAUUUCCUCAUUGUGCUUCAUAGUGUCCCAAGCAGCAAAAACUUUCUCUUAUCACCUGCACCAUUUUGCAUCCCCAAUGUGAUCAGAAGGAGGAAGCCCAACACACGCGUACAAACACACACUUUGCUGUUAAUUCAUAUCACAUAUUUUUGGCACAAACAGAAGAUGACAGAUUACAUGUUAAAUACUCAGAAAGAUAUGUCGCAGCCUUGCCUGAUAAGCAUUGUCAUAUCUGGCCAGUUGUGAUUGCCGUGAAGAUACUGCAGCUGUGGGACAAAGUAAGUAAAAGGCUUUGUGUAAUCCUUGUCCAAUUUACUGCUAAUUAUGAAAUGAAGUGGUAUUUGCGAGUUAACUUAAUGAAAAAUAUGUGUUAAAUAUGUUUUUUUUAUACUUUGAUUGGCAUGAUCUGAAUCAUUGAUCAGGGGUAAAAUUUGGGCUCAGUAAUAGUUUUUAUCUUUGGGUCUGUGAGAUGCACUAGGGGGCAGUGUUUGUCUAGAACUUUGUGUGACCUCUAACAAUUUUCAAAAUGUAAAAACCUGGGCCUCAUGUGGGGUGACCUUAAAGAAUUGAUGGCAAGAAAUCCCAGCUGUAGUUACACUGGCGUCACCCAUUGAUCCUAAAGUAGAACUGAAUGGUGACAGUCGCCAUGUGGGAAAUGCUAAUUCAACAAAAAGCAGUGACGCAGGGUUGAAGUGGGUCUUUAACCCCCUGACAAACAGCUCCAAUAAACCUGCCUCAUUAUGCUAAACUUGUAACCUUCAAACAAAUUAGUUAAAAAGAAAUCACCUCUGCACAGUGUGUUGGUUUUUAGGGGCAGCCCCAAGUGGAUACUGAAGGAAUUACAUUUUUUGGCACUUAAGCAUUGGCUCUAUUUUCUUAUACUUGCCUGGUUUAUAUGUACGAUGAAGAAUUAGGGCCACAAUAAAAAAAAUUAGACUUUGAGAUUAAAGUUAAUUUAUGAGAAUAAAAUCAAGAGUAACGAGAAUGAAGUUGUAAGUAAUUACUUAAUAGAAUAAAGUCGCAGUAAAAAUCAUUACUUACAAGAAUAAAGUCAUAAUAAAAUCAUUAUGAUACUUAUGAUAAUGUGGUGCUGAUGUGCCAAAAGAUGAAGUAUCUCCUUGUUUGAGAAACCUAUAUUGAAGUACAUUUUUUACGAAAUGCUCCAUAGCUCUCAUUUCAACAAUUGUCAUCUUAAACAACAGGUUAGAAUAUAAGAACUUUAUUCUGACUUAACUCUCGUUAGUGAUUACUUUACUACGACUUUAUUCUUAAGUAUUAACUUUAUUACGCCUUUUUUCUCGUAAGUUAUAAUUUUAUUACAACUUUAUUCUCGUAAGUAAUGAUUUUAUUCUCAAAAAUUAAUCUCAAAGACUUAAUUUUGAUUUUUUCUUACUGUGGCCCUAAUACUCCAUCGUAUAUAUGCACACAGGUGUUUUCAUGUAUUUUACCCAAAGGACCUCUUUUAUGUCGCUGGUUGGAGUCCACCUUACUCAAGUUACAUCUUCUCCAGUUUAGCACAGACUUCAAGCAAAACUUAGAUGUUAAUAAAAAAAAGCAAACAAGAUCAUCAACGAUGGGUCUGAUGGUUUCUAAACAGUUCAUGUGAAAGCCUCUAGCUGAUGCUUGGUGUUGGAUAAAAUACCUUACAACUCAAUGGAGAAAGAGCAUUUGUAAACAUUUUCUACAGCAAAAAGGAGGGGGAGGGUUCACAAAUUAUAGGAACAAACAAAAAAAGCUUUUGUAAGUAUGCAACUCUGCAAAAUGUGCAAAAAUAUUUCAGAGUUCUUAAUCAUUUUAAUGUCUGAGUACAUUUUGUACUUCCUCAUUGUCUAACAUGUCAAAGGAGAAUGUGUCACCCUACCCACGACUAUCUGCAUGUACUUAACACUUCAUUCAUAAAAAAGAAAUUCCUUCACCAUUGUAAGAUCAUUUACCAUAAAGUAGUGACUCCUUUGAUGACAGUAAAGAAUGCCUUCGCUCAGGUUUAGUUGUUAUAUUUAGCCUGUGUUUUGGCUCAGUGGGCAUGGAAAUGAAUUCAAAGCAGGAACUGGUUGAUUAUAGGCUGCUUUGUGUGCCUUGCCUCUGAACAAACAAAUUAGAGGAAAUAAACAAGAGAAGUUGCCAGGGGGAGACGGAAAAAUGAAGGCGGAGGAGAGACAAAGGUGUGAGGUUGAUCUCAAGUUUAACUCCAUCCUUCACAGCCCUGUGUGGUGAAGGUUCAAGUGGCACAUAGAUGAAUUUAUCUCCAUCAUGUGUUGGAGUGUCAGUCUCGGGGGGGGGGGGGGGGGGCUUAUCUGAAACAAGCUAAUUUCAGCAGGCGAGAUCUUUUAGACUCAAAAGUAAAACAAAAAAGCUUUAGUGUCUCGUGCUUCUGAUCAAAACUGUAAAGGAGACGAGAAAGUACAGAAAAGAGUGGAGGAAGGUGUCACCAUUUGACUCAACACGUCAUACACUAGAAAGAUGAAACCGAUACUCUGCUGCUUCAGGGGAAAGAAACAACUUGCAAGCUUGGUCAAAUAUUAUUAUCUUGAAGCAGACACAUGUUGAUUUUCAAAUCUAGAUAAAUGAAAAGUUAUUUAUUUUCAUCCCCCAAUAUUAAUCUCUCUUUUAGCUCUGGUUGUCCUCCACUUACAGGGAGGGAAAUGCACUCAGUUCAGGGCAUUUUACUGUUUGCAAAAUGUUGCUAGUGAAUAUCACAUGCCCUGUAAAGACACAAAGAGAGUUAUUAAGUCUCCUCUGUCCUCUGUAAGGAAUUCCUGUUUGGUGUGGUCCUAUUCAUGCAGUCAGCUUUCACUCAGGGUAGUGUAUUCAGCAGCUACAACCUGUCCAACCACAGUAGUGCUCAAUCUAUCCCCUCGCUGUCCUUCUGUGGUGGAGAUGCUUUACUUCCGCUAACAUCCACCCAUCAGUAGCAGGUGUCUCAGAGGCUACUUCUGCUUUUAUUGUUGCAGCGAGCAAUGCAAACCACAGAUAGCUCAUUCAAAUGAGAGUAAACCCUGUGUCUAUUUGUGCAGCGACAAAACCAAAUGAGUAGGCAGCUUCUACGCAACACACAUACUGAAAUUAGCUCAACUCAUCUCACCGUCACGGUUUUAAUCCUUAUUUGCUCCAGUUAAGCAUAAGUCAUGUCGGUCAGAUUUGAAAUUCAACAGAUCUUUGAUCGUCAAGAAGCCAGGUCAAGUCUUAAAUCAAACUUUAUUUAUGAAGUGCUUUUCAAACAGAGGAAAAGCACUUUAUAGAUAAAGUUUGAUCUCAACUUGAUAGUAUGAACAUAAUUCAGCCAGUUUUAUUGGAUUAAUCAAAUUAGAAAUUAAAGAUUUGUGUACUUUUUAGGCUUAGACCAAAGCUUCAUUAUUUCGACUCUUGUGGCUGUGCUUCCAUUCUCAUGUCCUCCCUGAAGGUGAUGGAGUACCUUGUUCCUGUAUGUGUUUCCCAUUUACAACCACCAUUGGUUGUAUGAAACCUGAGCCAAAGGUACUAAUGUUAGAGUGAAUUUCCAUAAUGACUUCAAAACCGGGCAGCCACUUUGCUUCAUUUUCAGCUUAGUAGUUCAAGUAAGGAGUUGUAGAAGCUCAUGAUAGUCCUAAGGAAUAGUUUGACAUAUUGAAGCCAAAAUAGAUUUGCUGUCUUGUUGAGAGAUAUCGCACACUUUAGAUACACUUUAACCAAACAAAGGUACAAUUUAAAGGGAUAUUUGGGCGUAAAACUAAUUUAGGGUCAAACACACCACAACACCGAGUUAGACACCCCCUCUAGAGAUGAAUGUUGCUGACCACUUGCUUCUCUAGUUAUAUCAACUUUAGUAAUGACCGCAUGAUAGUAAUACACAGCGGUCUGAGGAGCCAUAAACAAACCUCAACCAAAACGCCACUCUAUAGCCACAAAUAAUGCUCAGAACAGCACCUAACUUCAUCAACGGUACAUAAAGGGUUCCAGCCACAGCACUAGCCACCAUACAUCUUUUUAGCUUUGCCUGAUUUUUUUUAGCAAAGAGACUAAACACAACUCACCCACUCUCUUCCAAAAUAUUUAUGCUAUUAAAUUUAAAGGAACAGUUCUUACAGACGUCUGUGCAGCCCAGGCGUGUGCAGUGUUACAGCUAAGGCCAGAGCAAAGUUGAUUCAAUGUUCACCAACAUGAUUCAUGAGUCAGGGCUAGGCUCAGAUAUAAAUAGAGUACAGUAAACUUACAGUACAUACAUCAACACUCUGUAUGUAGUAGCACACAUUCAUACAUCACUCAUUGCACAGUGACAGAGGCACUUCCUCUUUUGUCAAGUCAAGCCUCAGUUUAGACGGAAAAGCAAGAAACUCUUAUCACCAACAUGUCAUCUAAUCAGGAACACAAAAACAGCAGCCUCGUUAGCUCGACUCCUGUUGAUGGGCGAUGUGUUGCACAUGUCAGAUUAGCAGAUGAGGUUUGAAUGUUUCCUGAAAGCCCGAGUUUUGGUGUGAAAGAUGUUUCUAUGAGUAGAAACACAGAAACCACAGAAUGUGUGUUAUGCAAAGGACUGAAAAAAACUCAAAGCCCAGUGAAAUUUUUUAGGUGUAACAGUGAGUGUUAGGAGCAAGUAAAUCUGAGUGUGAAACCUUGUGUAAGUCAAUUUUAUGUAGAAGUGUGAGUGAGUAGGUGGACUGCAGGAGCAAACCUGUUGCUUCUGCAUCCAACUGGAACUUUUUAUUCUUCUAUUUUGAAAGCAAAGUGAAAGCACAGACGUUUUGACCUGUCAGCAGCUAUCACAUUGCAUCAGCCUUUUAAAAAACAUAUCUGUAGAUAACUUGCAGAGCAUUUAGUGCAUGCGGGGGGUUGUCUUAUCACUGGUGUGUGCUUUACUUCUAUGAGGUUCUGAGGGAGUGAGGGUUAUGUUUUCAUUCCUCUCUGCUCCUUAGAGAGAUCUCACAGGCUGUUUUCUUGUUUGGCUACACAAUGCACCCUUUCACCCAGAAAUCAGCUUGUGUGAUAAUUUUCAGAAACCUCUGGCAAUAAAAGGGUUUCCGUGGGUAUCUGUGUCAUCAAAUUAAGUUUUAAAGUGCUAAAAUCACAGCCGUGCAGGCUAAGUAGUGCUGUAAAUACAGUAUGUGAGACUGUCCUCAAGGAUUUGACAAGGGACAUCACAAUUUUAAGGUUGAUUUGCAAAAUUUGGUGCAAGUACAGACACUAUUUUUAAAAAUGUCCUUUUUCUUUUUCUUCCUCUAAGUGACUGAUUCUAAUUUGAGUUGCAAUUGAACUUAUAGUGAUUGUACAAAAUCUUAAACCUUGAGCCAUUGGCAGAUGUAUUCAGUUUUGUUCUGUGGCUCUUGAGGUUUUGCUCUUGACAGUGAGACCGUCUCCCUCUGCCUCUCUGUCGACACCUUCACUUGGGUAUCAGUCAGGGCCUGAUCUGUUUUCACGUUCGGUUCACUGAGAGUAACAGUGACUCUCAUUUUCAUACCUUAAUAGGCAACAACUCUCAUGUCUGUUAUCAGAACUUGUACUCUGAAUGUCUUCCUGGAUAAAGGUUGUACCUGCAACAUCAAAUACAGACGGUUUGGUUUGGGGGUCACGCUGGUUUACAGUUUAAACUGAUGGCUUUCUGUAAGAUGUUGCAUCAGGGUGCAGUUGGGUGGUGACAGCUCUUGUUUAGGUGCCACUGAAGGGUUAACUGCCUCACACUGUGAAGCUUACCGGCACCUAACGGCUACCACAAGUGCACCAUACAGCACUGCUGUGGGGUUUUUAGUCAGAGCUACUGGUUUCCAGUAAAGACCUGCGCCCAGUGCCUUCAGAGCAGAGGAAGUGGUGGUGGAGUCUGAAAGUCUUUUCAGAUGGAGACAAAAGUUUUCAUGCAUCAGUUGAAAAAAGAAAAAAAAUCAGUCUCACAUGCAUUUACAUAAUUGCUUUUUAUUUCACUUAGCCAAUUUUACUGCCAUUUCCUGAGAGCUGGAGGGAGAGGUCAAGGGUCAAAGCAACAGCACCCUACAAUUAACAAAAAUUAAAGCUCUGAACUAAAUAUUUAGAGUUAGUUAUAGAAAAUUAGAACAGGCUCAGGUGCUGACAGGCUCAAAGACAUAUAAAAAAGACCCAUUUUGUUUCUGUAUGUAUUUAUUUAUUAUCAAUUUAUUGUUAAGGAACAAAGGAACCGUAAAUCAUGUGGAGCGAAUACACAGGCCUGUGGCGCCACUUUGUGGAAGAGCAAUGUUGUUACACUGAGCGCAUAAAUUCACAUGUGCUGUAAACGCAAGAGCAACGCUACUACUUAACAAAUAAAUGCAACAUUGCUGGUCACAUUGUAUUCGGAUUGUGGAGUAAAAUUUUCUCUUAUCGAUGUCAAACCUGACAAAAUAAGAAGACAAAAUGAGUGACAACCAAUAAGCCAUGAAAGUCUCCCAUACAGCCUGAUUUUCUCAGUUGUUUUCUACUGCCAACCUUUAGGCCUUGGACACAGGAGUACUUUGCUGCCACCUGCUGGUGAAUUUAAAAGUUGACGUAGUAUAAACCAUCUUUCAAAGUCUGAUAGUGCAAACCCAUACCCACUUUCUAAAACUUUAUAUAGUACCAUUAUUAUUAUUUCCUUUUACUGUAUAUCUUCAGCUGAUUUCAUACAGAUUUGUUUUUUUCAAACUUGAAAGAUUUUACUUUUCUCAUUUUAUCUUUAUUGUCUCACACACAUUCAAAGCUUAGGACUUCCUGAUCUCACAUUUGUUUACGAAUCAGUUUGUUAAACUGAACCAAAAAGAGAGCGAUUGCAGAGUUUGGGUUGUAGAAGUAGGUAUGAGGCUUCUGGCUGAAUUUACCUUGCUACUUUUUCUGGCUUUUAGUAUAAAAGAGAAAAAAAAAACAUGAGAAGGUGAAACAAACUGUGGUUACAUGUAAAUAUGCCUGUGUCUGUGUGAAUGCAUUACAACCAGCAUGAGUGUUUAACAUUGACUAAUGAGUGAGACUGUAUAUAUUAGGGAGGUGUACUGUAUGUAUGAACGAAUGUAUGAAUUAAUGUAAAAUCUGGUGCAUUUGUUUUAAGAUGUAUUUUCCUGGUAUUUCUAGCUGUUGCCAGGAGGGGGCAGUGUUUUCCAAGUCAUCCCCAUCAUCCCCAAUCCUUGUGCUGGGAUUGUAGAUCAGUGUGUUUUUACCCCCCAGCACUCUAUCAGUGGAUUCUUUAAACACCUUUAAUUUCCAGAGUAACCCUUUUGAAGCUCUGCCCCCUUAGGGGUAAUAGGUGGUAUUGAUUGGUCGGUGGGUAUCAGCUGGCUGUAUUGACUGACAUAGUUAAAACAACAAUGGAGCAGAGCAGUGAGAAGCAGUCCGCUUUGGUUUCACACAGAAGAUCAGCUCAGUGAAGGGAAGAGACAGCUGAGGCUGCGCAUUAGUCUGAUUGAGGGUGUGGAUGUGUUUGUCCUCACACUGAAUAUUGACUAAGUUGCAGUAAAAAUAUCCUGGGUUCAGUGGGACUGACAAGUAGCUGUUCAGGCCCCCUAUCUUGACAUGUUGUUCAUUACUUUAAGAAAUGUACAGCUAAAAAUUUGACAGUAUCAAACACUAACCUUUCAUCAAGGUGCUGUUGUAGACUCACAUUGAUUUACUUCCCAGUUAUCAAAUAACAAACAAGCAAACCAAAACGAAAAUCACUGAGACACUAACAAGGAUUUAAAUGUAUGCAUUAAGAGAGGAAAACACAUCAUGAAACUACCAGCUUUUUCCUUCCAUAGCUUUUUCUCAAAGAAUACCGCUCAAUUUAUCCAAUCUUUUUAAGGUAUAUGUAACAUUUUAUGUAUGUUUUUUUUUUUAAACCAAUUAAUUGUUGAGAAAAUUAGGUGCAGAACAAAAUUGUUGUUUUGCCCCUGCCAAACAAAAAUGUUAAAUCUGACAUGAGAAUUUAAAAAAGAUAAUACCAACAUUUAACUACCUUUUACCACUAAGAAAUAAAAAGCGGUCAAAGUUAAUUUUUUUGCUGUGGAUGUAACUGUGUCCGGUAAAACAGAUGAUCAUUGAUUCUUUGGUUCAACUUUAUUUCCACACAGACGGACUGUCUGUGCCCACUUUGUGUGUGGUUUUUCUGCAGUGACAGACACUCUUCAGUGAUCAGGAAACUUUGGCAUCUUUGUUCAGUCUGGAAACAAAUGAAAGCCAGACACCUCCUCUUGUUGUGUCUGGUUUGCUUUGUUGACUGAUAUUCACAUGAACAGAAACUGCAGGCUUGUCUUGUGAAGUUUGCGUUCUAAUGAAACUUUAGUGUUAUUUUUUCCAACCCUUUCAUGUAUAUCAGAAAAACAGAAUCACAAAAUGAAUCACUCAGCAGUUAUUGUUUAAUUGAUCUGUGUGUAGGAUCGUUUCAUCACAAUCAACCCCCUGGAAUGAUUCGUGAAUAACAAUCUGAUCAUUUAGAUGCAGAUUUGCUCUGGACUUACUUUUGGUUUUUACACAUUUUUUAAAAAUACCUUUCUCAGAAGCUUCAGAAAAUGAUAAUUUAAACAUUUCUCUGCACUUUUGGUCACUUGACACACUGUAGUCUGCAUAUAAUUUUCAUGAUAAUUUUUUUUCUCUGAACGGAAUAAACAAUUAGUUUGCUGUUAGAAGAAAAAUCGUUUGAAAUAAAUAAAUUGAUACUUCUCAGUUAGCCCUGUUAAGACUGUGUUUCAGUAACACAAAAAACACACAACAGAUGAAGAAUAAAACAUUAAGAACAAAGACAAAGCUUAAUCAAAACCAUAGUGGAUCACAAAACCAGAAUUUUUUUACAUGACCUUAAAACAUUUCCUAAAGACACAAAAGUGUUAUUAGACAGAGACCCUGUAUUUGCUGUAAUACAUGAUGGGCAAUUGAUGUUGAUUGUUGAUUUUACUUUAACUUUGCAAACAGAUCAAUGAGAUAUUUGGUGCGUUGUUCAAAAGAGAAUUUUUUUUAUGUUUAUUAAAUGGACCGAAAUUUAUGUUGAUGCCUUUUAAUGACACAUAAAAUCAACCAAGACCAUCAGCGACAAGAUUAAUGCAUAUCAUCUGCUGGUGAUACAAAAUGAAAAUGGUAUUAACGUCAUGUUACCCACAGCAGUGACUGAGACAGUUGUAUUUGAGGUGUUUGUGUCAUUGUUGGGUGGUUCCCUGUGAAGCAACUGUGGGCAAUGAUAUCAAUCUAAAGGUUUCACUGACUCACCGGCGGACCCUCUGUGAAAACACAGGCCUCCCACCUAGAGCAGCAGUCCUGGUGGUCUCACUCAGACGUUAAUCAUAGUUUGAUCAUUAGCACACACACACAGAAAUCUUGGAAAAUGCACAAAACGUCCCUCCUACAAAAUCACUUGAUGCAAACACAAGCAAACCCACAAAGACUUCUAAACCACAUUUUCUGCUGGGAGAGUGCCUCACACUCCUCCCUCCCCCCCAACUGUCCCGAGUGUCUUGGUGGGCUAAUCAGAAACACAAUAGUGUCUCAGUGCUCCACCUGGAAACUAAUAGUGUUUAGACUCUGAAGGCGGUGAGUCAGAUCCUCUGCAGCCCUCUGACACAUCUCAGACUCUCCCGGCCGGGAUGGAGAUGAAAAAGGAGUCAGGGGUUUGAGUGGAGAUGAAGGGAAUGUAGAAGGAAAGCAGUGGGAGACAAAGGAAAGGGCUUAAAAUAGAAUAAAAACUCAAACGAAAAGUAAAUCUGGGGCAACCAUUAGUUCUGGAUGAGGCUGUUAUGACUAUCAUUGAUGCUGUGGCUAGUUUAUUCCAAUAUUUAUGCUUGAUUUAAUAGUGCACAUUUCCUACAGUAUGUUUGUACUGUGUUAGGUGGAGUUUUCCACUUUCUAGACUCCUUCUAUUUAUCAAAAUUUGAGCCUUACGCAACAAAAAUUCAAGCUCCGACUACCCAGCCUCUGCUGAGCUGCUUUAUGAAAGCGACCUUUGGACUUCCAAAGCAAUAACCUACCUGUUAAACUUCAUAUGACUCAUUUGUGUGGACAGCUUUGUAACUCCCAAAACAGAGGCUGAACUGAACUGUAGGUGUACCACUUAGAUGUAUUGCAAUUUCUAUUAUGACACAGUACUUUUACAGUUUAUUCCCACACUCCACACUGACACCCAGUGGCAUCUUUGUGCUAGUGCAGAAAGUAUUGGGGCCUUUUCAUAGCAAAGGGCGGAUAGUAUUGUUCAUCUGAAAAGCUUGUCUUUUUUCAAAAUAGUGUUUUAUGGAGUUAAGAACUGCAAAAUGCAACGCCUCAGAUCAGUGGUUCUCAACUGGUGGGUCCCGACCCAAAAGUGGGUCACAGACACGUUCUGGAUGGGUCAUGAACAGCUGGUCAAAAAAGUAAAUAUUUAAUGCGAUGUUUGUUAGAUAUUUGAAAUUUUCUGUAUAUGCAACUUCAGUAGUUGUCUUCCUCAUGUUGUCCCCUUCAUGUGCUCUGAAUGCAUUUCAAUCAAUAAAAGAAGUGGAUUUAUGUUAAAGAUUAGAGUCUUUAAAGGUUUUUUUUAUUUAUAAAAAAUAAAUUUGGUUGGUUUGAAUCAUAUAAAAGUGGGACGCGACUUAAGGACCAUGGGAAAAUGUGGGUCCAGAGUGAGACCAGUUGAGAACCACUACCUUAGAUCGAUUGUCUUUACGAUGGUAGGUUUUCUCUCCCUCCCUGGAGAGGAUGAGUCUGCUGGGUGAUGAAUAUUAUAACCAUAUGAUAUCUGUUCACCCUUGUACAAUUCUAAAUAUAAUGUGACAUUAACAGAAAGAGGCCAUCACUUAAUGCUCGAUGUGGAUGUUGAUUCUUUCCCUUUAUUUGUGAAAUCUCCCAGACAUCGCCUAAUUAAGUUUCCACGGUUAAACUUCACCAGACAAUUUGUUCCAUUUUCUCACACAGCAGCCAGUUAUGGUGACUUCAAGUCUGGGGAGACAGAGGAGGUAGUGUGGUUUUGAGGCUGUGGAAAGGACUGAGGGGGAACAUGAGUGAUGGAAAUAUUCUGGGGAAAUAAAGUGUUUUUUAAGACUAGAUUUGAAUAACUUCAACACACUGAAACACUUAAACACAAAGUCAAACAAGCUACAGUUAGAGUUUAGCUUUUGGUUUUAACACAUUUUCUACUUUAUGUUUAUUUCUUAUGAUCACAUUGGUGUGAACUCUGUUUUGAAAUGACCUUCAUCAAAAUAUAAUAGGUCAAACAGUCCAAUAUGAAUGAAACCUUUUUUCACUACAGACUGUAUUCUGGAUCUAAUUUUGGAUUUUAAAUAAAUCACAUUCACACUGUCUUGUGCGGAAAUACCCCGAGACUCAACCCUCUCUGACUUCUCCUGAUGACUGUAAUGAGCGAAGCAUGAGAGCUCCUGUCACCUGCUGAGUCAGUGAGACCCUCUGCAGAGUGAUGAUGAGCAAUGUCUGGUGACUCAUGCUGCCUCCUUUAUCAGUCAGUGCUCAUGUGGGAGAGUAAACACCUGAGAUAACAGAACAUCAGUGUCAGCUUCUUAGCUCAUCACUCAGGUUCAUAAAUCAAAUAAAGAUCAACAUUUUUAUUCAUUUUGUCACAAUCAAGAGAUACAGAUGACCUGAUGCCACACAAAAAGCCCACCAAGAAUAAACUCCUUACUCUGAAGGUCGGCAUCUCUAUUGCAGACGAACAAACCCACACAAGUUAAAGGGAUAUUCUGGCGUAAAAUUAAGUUGGGGUCAAACACACCGUAACACAGAGUUAGACACCCCCUCAAAAGAUGAAUGUUGCCGACUGCUUGCUUCUCUAGUUAUACCAACUUUAGUAAUGACCGCACGAUAGCAAUAAACAACGGUCCCAGGAGCCAUAAACAAACCUCAACCAAAAAGCCACUCUAUAGCCACAAAUAAUGCUCAGAACAGCACCUAACUUCAUCAACAGUACAUAUAGGGUCCCAGCCAUAGCAUUAGCCACCAAACACCUUUAUAACUUUGCCUGAUUUCUUUAGCAAAGAGACUAAACACAACUCACCCACUCUCUUCCAGUAGCCGCUUGUUUGUACGUAGACCUCUGGGCAAGUCCAUCGACUGCAGUGAGGUGACGCAGCUCAAGGAAGAACAUUUAUGAUCAUUACUUUAUCAUUUCCUUGAAGUAAUAAUCAUCAUAUUAAUCAUUUUACACUGCAGACGUGGUAGUUCUUCUGCCUUAGCGUCUCAGUCUGAUUGCAUUUCCAUGAAGAAUAUCCCUUUAACCCACCAAAACAAUAUUUUAACAUUUCUCAGCUCAGCACAAAAGUAUUUCAUUUUGGAGUUGAUCGGCCAAGUGCAACCAUAACAAUUCAAAGUUAAUGUUUCAGAGCACAAUGUUCUUUGCAGCUCUGGAUCCAAGCUCAUCUUACCACUGCACAUUGUCAAAUAAAAUGUUCUGAACAUCCAGGAAUAAUUUGACAGGAAGACAGUCGGCAGGCACUGAAAGAACAUUUGCCAAGCACUACUUUCAGCCAUAAGUGGUGACUUUGUAGGACAAGUAAUUAUAUGGCAGUUUAUGAAGAAAAUUUCUGCCCAGAGUCUUAAAGGGUGCAUGUUUCUAUAUAAAAAGAAGUUCAUUCGUGUCUUUGUAAACGCUACUAUAGGACACUUUAAAUAAUCGUACAAGCCAGACAAGUCUGAUGCUUUUUUUGUCUUUAAAACUUUAAUUUUAGCUCAGAGAACGUUUUGUUUUAUUUGAGUACAUCCAGUAUAUCUUAAAAGCACACUGUUGCUGUUGGUGCCAUGAAGCCAAAAGUGCACUUCAUUUUGAGAUAAUGUGUCAUAUGUAACCUCCUUAACUCAUCUGUUGACUCAAUCUCCUACAAUCCUCCUACAAAGAGCACUUUCAUGAGCUGGCAGUUUUUUAACUAUUUCUUAUCUUUGCUACCACUCCAAAGCUGCAAGUGAAACUCAUGUAAACAUGUUCUUGGAUUCAACUCAUGCUCAGCAAGUCUGCCCAUAAUCUGGGUGUCAUGACUGAUGACCAGCUGACCUCUAAUAGGGUGACCAUAUGUCCUUUUUUACCCGGAUAUGUCCUCUUUUUGGGGGCUGUCUGGGUUUGUCUGGCUUUGUCCGGGAAAAUUUAUAAAAUCCUUCAAAUGUCUGCGGUUUUGAACAUCAGUUUCGAGUUUGUGUCACGUGGACUUACUGUGUUAGAAGCACGUAAAAGACACUUGAUCCAACCUGAAAAACUCUCAAAAUUAACUUUGUGCGACUCCGUGACUCUGCCCCCACGUAGUCGUGUCCUCUUUUUGGGAAGUCAGAAUAUGGUGACCCUACUCAUAAGGUUCAUAUGGUCUCUACAGACAGUGUCACAUGAUAGAACAAAUAAUGCUGAAAUACAUAGCAAACACCAACGGUAGCUAGAAAGUCGCUGAACGCUAGUUAGCUGUUGCCUGAUGGUUGCUGUCAAGUAUGUUGUUUUAUCAUGUCGUUGCAAAUCCCAUUACUUUUUGCCUGGCGCCACCUUUUAUUAAAACCAUAUAAAACAUGAACACCCAUUGGCUCCCGAAGAAGCGUUGCUUUGUUAUGUACGCAAAGAUCUUUGUCAAAUUAGUCAUCAACUAGCGGUAGCUGUCGGCAGCAGGUGUUUCAUCUUGAGGUGGUUAAGCAUGGCAGAUGUCUUGUUGUGCUUCAGUACAGCCAUGCAUGAAUAACCUAUAACUGUAGCAUUUGUGUCAUUUGGAAGUAUUUCCAUACACCUGAUUGUCAAGCCUGUUUAGCUUGGGCCUCUACCUGCAUCUCAACGCCAAGGUCAGCCCCCUUCCUAGUGAGAUCCCCCAUUUUGUCUGCAAAUAAGUUGACUGUUGCCAACAGCAACAGACUAGUGGUUAGAGUAGCCAACUAGUUGAUUAGUUGGUGAAACCCCCAAAUUCUUUGCUUUGUUAUAAAAUCAAAAGAUAAGUUAUUUAGAUAAAAAAAAAGCCUUCAUACUUGUGUUACAAAUGAAAUAAUAAUACUGUGUGCGUCAUCUCACUCUGGCUCUUGACAUGUUGUGAAAAAAUGUUCACAACAGUGAUGAUGCUUUUUAUUUUCAGGUUAGAUGGUUUUCUACCAGGAAUUGAUGCUUACAGUCUGCAGCCAGUGUGCCUGUUAACACUGCAGAGCUGUCAUAUCCUGUUCAUUGCAUUAAGCUUGAAAAACAAGGCCAAAGUUGCUUUCGUUACAAUGCUACUUCCCAUUCUCGUUAAUGUCUGUAGGUCUUAAAAUAAUAUGAACAUCAUGUCCACAUCUGUACCGUCCUCUCUGUGUCUGUAGCAUCUAAAUACAUGUGUGCGCUUGUGCGAGCUGAGUAAAGUGUGGGAACUGCAGAGGAGGAUGUGUGUAUUUACCAAAUUCCCAUGACUUCCACCGGAUGAGAGACUGAGUUGGACAGGCAGGAACUCAUUUUAUCGCAACCACCCCAGAGAAAAGGCUGAUAUUUGAAGUGAAUUCAAAGUAGAUCAUAGAAAUAUGGUCAAGUCUUGUAUGAAUCCUCUUUUUUGGACAGGGAUCGGGUUGACACACAAAUAUUGCUUACUAUGUGCGAGUAUCUGUGGGGUUAAAUUUGACUGUACGAGAAGCACAAAUAAAUACAGGAUUCUCAGGAUGACACAAUCAUUCAGUUUUUACGUGUCACUCUACAGGUCCUGGGCCAAUAUGUCUAACCUUGUGCUAGAUGACAAGAUGCCAAAUGUCACAGAAAGUGCGGGUCGGGUCAAGUGUGCAGAUGUUUGCAGAGUGCUGAUUUGCAAGAGACUAGAGACAAAGAAAAUGACAUAAAAUGAAACCAUUUCCAGUCAUGCCCACGUGGAUUAAAAAAAAAAGAUAAAAUCGAGAAUGGCCUAAACCAAAGUAGAAGCUCAGAUCAAGAAACCAAGUGUUGCUCAUCCUGAAUGAUUAAAGGGUCACUUGUCUUAAACCAAAUGGUCUGAAACUGUACAUGUCAAGUCUCACUUUUGCCCAUAUGUGGGUUUGAAUUGUAGAGGCUCAAUUUUCCACCAAGAACAUGUUUACAGGGUAGCAGCUAUCCCUAUGUUUAACAAAGCAAAUACUCUUAUAAGGAGCUCUUAAUCUUGUAUUCAGAAUUUGAUUGAAUGAGAAAUUAAAGACACAGUUUGAUAGUUUUUUUUACUCAUUUGGUGGAACUAUUGCUCGGUGAAUUACAGCUUCCAAACCAAAGUGAAACCUUUGACUGUUUCAGGAACAUUUUUGUUUCUUUUCAGAUUAAACAAACAAGAUACAGUACGUGAUUUUGUAAACUGUUGGCAUGCUCAUUUUCCAGAAAGGGCAAGGCUGUUUCCUUUGCUGCAAGAUUUAUGCUAAGCUAUGCAAAAACUGCUGGCUCUUGCUCUUCACUCAAAGGCUUAGUUUUAGUGAAUUAAUGGCCACUGGACACAGGUCGUAAUUACAGAUGCUGUAGCAGCAAAUUCCCUGAGUGCAUCAGAUGAGCAGGGAUGUGCUUAAAUAUUUAUUAGCAUCUUCAUUUAAGAGUUAAAACACCUCCACACUGCCCUUAGACGCUUUGGGACCACGACCAUGUCCUCACUCGCGUCCUCUUCUUUUAAAUCGAACAAAACUCAAGGCAUGCCGGACGUCAACUUGUUUGCGGCCUUGAAGUAUGCCCUCUGUUGGAUCAAAAGGAAACUACAGUUGACGGUCUGUAGCAGUGAUAGACUGUCCAGUCUGAGUUUAAGCAGGUGAUUUAAGUUAAAUAUGAUUGAUUACAACACAUUUAAGACAUAUUGGAAUUUGAGUGAAGAUUGGAAAAUAUAACAGUGUUGUUUCUUUUAGAAAUUACAUUGGUUUACUUUAACACAAAGGCUGUGUCAUUCUUCUGAGUUUACAAAAGUUUGCUAACAUUUCUUGUUAGCUAGAAAGUCAUAUUACAACAUGAACAUAUAGUCUGGAUGUAAAGCAGACUCAUCACAAACUUUUUUACAAGAUGGAAAAAAUGCUCUGGGAAUUCUGGGAAAAUAGAAGUACCAUGACUGAAUUUAGCAGGAGGCUGGGCCGUUUCUCAUGACACACACACUGUGAGGUCAGUUCAUGGGUUGACUUCUCAGGCUUUCUGUUAUACAAACAAAAAUAGAGCAAGCAUGUUGAAGCUGAACGACUAAAAAAGAAGACAUUUCUCAGUAAAAGCAGAUUUUUCUUUUUUUAUACAUGUGAAUGCCUUUGAGUGUGUUUGUGCUUGCCUCUCAAAGUUGGCCACUCAUUAGUAGAGAGCUUUUGGAGGAAGUGGUGGUUACCGAUGACUCAGCCAAGCCAUGCAUUUCAUUCUCUCGCUCCCCACUCUCUCUCUCUCUCUCUCCUCUCUUUCUGUCAUCUGCUUUUCUGUCUACAUUUUAUUCAUUCCUCUUUCCCUCUCUAGCCCUUUUCAUUUUCUGUUCUCUUGGUCUCCUUUCCCUUUUCUUUCUCUCUUUUUUCCUGACUCAUCCUUGACCUUUGGGGGGUUAUUUCAGUGUGUGUGUGUGUUUUCUGUAUGGAAAUGUGUCUGUGUGAGCAGCAUACUCAGCAAUGUGUGUGGGAAGAUAACUGGCUUCCUUCAGAGUGAUUAAAACAUUCCUUCUCUCUUCUUUUUCCUGUCUUCUCUCUCUUUCGCAGCCUUUCAUAGUCCUCAGUGAAGACUUUCUGAUGAAGAGGAGGAUGAAGACCGACAAACUGGUGAGUGGAGACAACCCCACAUCAUUUUCUUACACUUUGGCUGGCAUUUAUCAGGCUCAAAUUGAAAGCAGGUCAAAGAAACUCUUUUUGAGUUUGGAUACUGGGGCAUGAGGAAAGUGCGCUGUUGCUCUAGUUUAAGCUUUCCAAUAAGAGAGUUUAGUUAAACGGACCAUUUUCUAGAUUUCAAGUGUUUAUUUAAAAGACUGAAGAAGAUAGAGGGCUACACAGCAGGAUGAAUGCGAGAGCCAGAUGGAAAAUAUUGCAGAUGUUUUCCGAUUUGACUUUUAUAACAAACCGAAACGCUUUUUGAUUUGUCUUUUAAGUAUGUUUCCGUAUCUUUAAAGAUUCUGUAAAGCAGUUAAUCAAUCCCUUUUGAUGGUAAAUAGAGUAUCAUACAGGAGUUUCCUCAAAGUAGGAAAUAGCAUAGCAUGUGAGAACUGUUUCCACCCUGCAGUAAUGGGAAAAAAAAAACAAAUAGAAACCUUUACAGAAAAAAGCAACCUUGAGGACGAUUGCGUUGAGUUUUUGGCAGCUGAUAAGUUGCGGCAAAUAUCGACUAAAUUUGGCACGAGGCAAGUUGCCCGCUUCUCCAAACUUAGUCAUGCAAUUAUGGUGUGACACACUGACCGCACCUGUGAAGGGCUGAAGUGAAAGUAGUGGUGUUCGAUAUCCUGAUGAUAUUGCAGAAUGUGCUUUGAUAGAAAAAAGUCAUUACAGAAUUUAGAGGCAUUUUAAUCUCUCAGAUCAAUCUGUGUACAGGACUGAGUCUUUGUGUGACGUUAGUGGGAGUUUCAUAAUCUGCACUGAGGCAUGUAACACAGGAUCUUUGAGUGGUAUGUUAUAUCUGCGUACAUGAGACAAUAACACGUUCUUUACUGCAAUCUAGAUUAAAAACUUUGUUUAGUCAGACAUUUGCUUCUUGAGUCUGCACGACUUGCUUGUCCACUUUCUUCUUGUUUAAGAUGUUCGAUCAUACAUAAAAACGUAUGAUUGUUUUAAAUGAUACACUAAUUGUGAAAAUCAGGUACAAUACUGAAACCACUUCUUGGAAUAAAAGUUAGUGGUUAGAUAUAGCCUACUGAUUUGGUUGCAUUAAAUUGAUGCGAUACAACUAGUAAACAUUAGCUACCGACAUUGGUGCAUAGCACAUUUUUUGAUUGGCUGAUAGGAAAAUACUGACCCAAAUACUGAUGUUUAGCUAAUCUAUUGAUGCAUACAUAAGUUUUGUCCGUGGCAAUCACAGUUUUUUCGUCUAGGUCCAUUAACUUGCACUAGCAUGCUUCUUUAGACAUGAAGGCUCUCCAUGUCUUUAUCUUGUAUCUGAGAAUAUCAGCUCGACUCACAUUUUCCACCUCCUUGCUACUCUGGUGUGCAUCAGAUGAUUUGACAAUGGUUUCGGCACAUUAGAUUUAUUGCUGCAUCAGCGAGUCUGAUUAGAUCUUUGUGCCUGACUUGUCAUCAUAUGUAUGUAGUCUGAUGUAUCUGUCUUUCCGUCUGACAGUCUAACACUUAGCUAAUAUAACUCUGAAACCAUCGCCCCAGCAGAUCAAAGGGAACUAGAAGUUAAUUUUUUUCCAUUUUUGUUCAUUCCCUAAAAGCUUUUUACUGGACUGUGAACUGAAGAAGAUGUGAAACCGAAAUUUUGUCCUAUUCUUGGCUGAAGUGUGACUUUAGCUGCCAAACAUUUUGGCGUCUCUUUUGUCGUGUUUUUCACUUUAUGAUGUACCAAACUUCUGCAGGCGGGACAGUUUAGCACCAGAUGUAUCACUUCUACUACAGAGCCAUGCUAUAGUUUGGCAUCUUCAGAAGAUAUAGGCUGGAUGCAGCAUAUAUUGCUUCCAAACCUGUAUUAAUGGUUCUUUCCCAGUUGUGUAAUCCUCAUACCAUCACCAAUGCUGGCUCUUCUGUCGCCAUCAUGUGGCAUUGCUGUCUUGAGCCAUCUCUUGAUCUCUUCGAGUACUGCAUGAAAAUUGUGAUAUGCGUCACCAGUGGCGGAUUUAAAGGUGAGGAGAGGAGCUGAUGUGAUUGGUGAAAACAGGUCUUGGCAGUGUUAAACCCUCUCCACGCCUUAUCCCCUCCCUCUCUACUACUUAUGCCGCUGGGAGGAGCUGAGUUAGGGAGGGGGGAUACUUACGCCGGGCUGUGCCGCUCACCAAAAUACCAAAGUAUGCUUGGGCACGCCUUUUUGGCACGGCAGACCUGACUUAUGCCCUUCUGCGCCAUGCUGCCGGCAAGGCACGAAAAUAGAGCCCAUUCAGUUGGCCUUUGGCUUUGUGCCGAGAUUUCUCUAGAUUCUUUGAAUAUUUUAAAGAUGGAUGUUACUGAUUUUACUCUAUAGAUGAUGAAAUACCCCAAACUUUGGUAGUUUUAUGCUGAGAAACAUUUUGUUUCUGUUUAACUGCCAGAUCACACAGUCUCUCACACAGAGCUCAAUUACUUGUAAGUUGGAGGACGUUCAUCUUACUGUUCACACAACUUUUCCAGUGAUUUGCUGUCCCCACCCCAACACUUGUUGAAAUGUUUGGCUGGAGUCAAAUUUAAACUCUGUUUUAUCAAAAAUAUACAUAGCAUACCGACUUUUCUGAAUUGGGGUUGUACAUGUAGAGGGAAACUUAAAUGCUCUUUAGCAAAAUAAAAUUUAGAAAAUUAAGAGACACCUCAUGGCUAAUUUUUUUCUGUAGAUUUGUAUCGUCAAUGUCUUUUAAUCUAUUUGGAAUUGAAACUUGUAAAACCAAGAGCACUACAUUUGGUGCUGUGGUGGAUUUUGAGCUCUGCUGUUUUGUGGCUGUAGGCCUGUGUGUGUCUGUGUGUCAGCUCAUGUGCAAUUGUUCUCAAAAAUUCACCAGAGGCCAGUUCAUUUUAGUCUUUCAUGCAUCUAAAAUUUAACUUUAGCCUGGGAGUUAUUUUGCUGUCUUACAAUGGUUUAUAACAGGUUACAACAUCUGCUGUACUAUAAGAAGAAAUGGCCACAUGACAUUAGAUUUUACUUUACAACAUAUCUUUCAAUGGACUGAAGACACAAAGAGCUUUCCUCCCUUAGACUCAGGAAAAACAAUUCUUAUUUGACAGACCAUCUUCAAACAAUGUUGAUGAGCAUAUGAAUGAAAACUCAGAUGUUUUCGUGUUAUCAGUUGUAAGUCUUAAUAUUAAGGGUAUUUUUAACAUCUUGAUGCAUUUUUAUUGAUCAGCAUCUGAGAGGACAGAGAACAUAUUGAGGGAAUACUAAGCUUCAACAACAUUGCCUAAUUGGUAGAGCAGACACAGCAAGACAACAUCUAGCAUUAGCAUUAGCUAACCAGCAAAUUUUACUGUUAAUUUGGAAAUUGCUCCAAGUCUAUAUCACUUACGAAGUGUUAACCCUUUCAAAUAAGUACGAAGUUGAUUCUCUACAAUGCAAAGCAAGCUUGGAUGUGGUGCAAUGCUAACAUUAGUUGUUGGUUAAACUCUAAUUAGCCUAUUAAAUAGUCAAACUUUCGAACGUUUUACUGUAACCAAUCAACAGGACAGGUCUAUGCCAUUGACAGUGUUGACCUAUUAACUUUCUUAUCGGGCAGCAAAGAUCCCACAGGACAGGACUGUCCACAGCAGAGCAGAUUCCAGUGUUAAUCUGAAACUGACACUGAUAUUUCUAGAAAGUUCAGGGACUGUUACGUUAAUGUUCAUCAUGCUUUCUCUUGCUGUUUUCUCUACUCUGCUAAUCUAAAAGAGCCCCAUUAAUCAACUUAGCUGUCAAUCAAGACCUAACAUUCUAUUUUUUUUUAGAAAAAUAACUCGUUAACGCCUCUGGAAACAAAUUUUGAACACAAAUCAUUAUGAUAAGAGCUAACUGAUGUGACAGAGACCAUUUUUGGGGAAGCUUUUAUUUGAUGCAUAUUUUGAAUUACGGGUUUAUCGAUGCUACAUUUAUGGAGGGGGCGCGCUUUAUGGCCUCUACUGCAGCCAGUCACCAGGAAAAAUUGUAAAUAUUUUGGCUUCACUCUUGGGGAAUUGGUGCGUUGCCUAUUUUUAUACAGUCUAUUGUCUGAACAUUUUCCCUCUGAACUCUGAUUCCUUUUCAAAAAACUGCUGAUAUCAAACCCUAUCAAUGAUCUCCUCAUUUUCAGAACCACAGGUGAUUGGUUGCCGGUGAACCAAUUUACAGAUGAUGCAUUAACUUAAAUCUGUGUCUUCACCCAACCAUGUAAUAGUUGUUGGAUUACCUUGACCUUCAUAUAUGUCAGCGCUGAUAAGUAGCCAGCUUUGAGAUUUGGUUUAAAGAUGAAGAAAAGGAAAAAUUGCAGCUUCAGGAGGACAUUUUUAUAUAUUUGACACGUCUUUGAUAUUUCUUUGACUCUCCGUCUUGCCCUUUAGUCUUUUUCUCUCUCCCACACUCUUCAUAAUGUUAUAUAAGUGGUAUCAGUUUCCAUACCUUAUCAUAAGAGGAUUUACACACACACACACACCCACACACACAGUACACUCACACCCACAUAUGCCAGCCCUGUUCCGUCAAAGCUCCCCUGAUUUACGGUAAACGUGUGUUUUUGUCUUUUGUGGGUCUGGAUCAAGUGAUGCAGUUAGUUUUGGUAUCAAUUCUAUGCAUCUCCACCACUGAGAGAGACUGAGAGCAGUGCAGCAUGGGUAGGUGUGGGAGGGCUAUGACAGAGAUGACUCAGCGUUCUGUUGCCGGGUAGAGACACGCCAAACACUCUUCAACCCCCAUACAUCUAAAAUAAAAAAAGAGAAAAAAACUUGCGUGUCUGAUGUGGCUGUCCUUCAUAUCACAGCCUCGAGUAAAUACAGUUCUUAUCUCAUCUGAAUGUGGAUGAUAGUUUUGCAUGACAGCAACCAUGCCUGAGCUAGUUCUGUGAAAAUAAUGUUAUUGAUUAACAACAAAACCAGGUAAAAAGGACAUUAUGUUGUUAUGUAAGGGGUAAAGUUAGGAGGAGAGCAAACAACAGGAGACAUGAGCAAAUUUGGGCCAGAUCUAUAAAUGUAUGCAUGCUUUGAAGUGUGCAUUUAUGUACUUGUAUGAGCCUAGUACUGGUUUGAAUCAAACUGGUUUUUGUUUGUCUAAACGUGAAACCAUGACAAUGUCCUUAAAAUGCCUUCUCACUGUAGAGAAACAUGAGUAAGUUACCUGUAGUUUUUCGAAUGAGGGGUUGAUUUACCGCAUAUAGAGGUAGACAGACUCAUAUUAUGAUUCAGGUUGUUUUUCGUAACUAGUUUAGUAAAUUACCUGAGAUUAUAACUGUAAAUCAUUGUGAGUUUUCUGUACAUGUCGUAGGUCCGGAGACUGUGUGUGCAUGCGUCUGUUCUCAUGAGUAAGAUAACAGGUUUUAGAGAGGUAAAUGUCACAGCUAAACAGCCAGUCAAAGUGAAAACAGUAGUGGGUCACUUUAGUUGUGUGGGCGUGCGUAGGUGUGUGUGUUGUGUUGCACCUUGACUCAUCACAAAUCUACGCUCUGAGAUACAGUAAAUGACUGAGAACUCUGGUUAUUACUCAGGGGUUGUAAGAGAAGUCACAAAUGACAACGACGUACACAAGAACUCAUAUUAUAUGUAAAGUAGUUGAACUUGUUGCCUGACAUAUGUUACUAUUCCUACCCUCUUUGGGAUAACAAGAAUAUUUCCUGUAUUUUUAGGUUUUCUUAUAGAGAAAUAACAGAAAUGGGAAACAAUUAUUUAGAGGAUAGUAAGAGUAUCUUACAGCUGAUGAUUUUAUUAUCUCUCUUUUUUUAAUGAAGUAAAGACAACUUUUUGGUGAUAACAAGCUCUACAAACUCACUGUUCCCACGCAGCAUAAGCAAAAGUUCAUAAAUUGAUCAUUUGUAAGGCAUCAUAACAAAGUUGGCUUGAACAAACUUAUAUUUGUUCUCCCUUGGUAGGUCUUUUGGCAUUUUUAUUGCCAAAUAAUCUGAAAAUAGUUUAUAAAAUCACCAUUUUCAUUCCAAAUUUUGUCCAGUAAAAGCUUCUGAAAUGAAGGGGCCUGGGGUUUGCCUUUGUCACAUAAUGAUACUCAACUGAAUAUCUUUGACUUUUUGUUGAUGACUCAGCUCUGCUCUGUUUUAUACAGCACCUUUCACCCAAACACGCAGCCUAAAGAGCGUCACAUUAAAACACCUGUGUUGAUAACUUCAGCACCUGUCAAUCAUAAAAGAAUGCAGCCCCAAGUCCAACACAAAAUAAAAGACAGAAAGUGAGCAUAGAAAUAGACAGCAAUAGAAAAAUACUAAUAAAAGACCAACCAUGAAAGAAAGAGCUAUUUAUUUUGCCAUUGUCAAUAUUUAUGGGCAACACAGUUGAAAAAAUAAAUAUUGAAAGUCAGCAGAUGAAUGAAUCUUCAGAUCUUUUAAAAACAGGCGGCAGAUCUCAUGAGACACAGAAGCAGGCGGAAAGCUGCAGGACUUGUGAAAAGAUUGCAUAUGACGUGUGUGUAGUGAUGGCAGACUUGCUCGAAGCUUUUAUGUCGUGUGUGUUGUGUCUUUUACUGCAAGAUACUAGGGCCAAGGCUUACAAUUGUUUUGUGAAAUUGUAAUUCGGACAUUAUCUAUACAAUAAAUAUGAUGUUAUUUAUGUUGGUGUUUUAGUUUCUUGUUUUGUUUUUACCUGUCUGUUAAACUUUAUUCAUGAAACAUUUUUGAAUCUGAAUUGGCUUAAACUUUCGAGCAGCUUGUGGAUUGACAAUGUUUGAUGACGUUAAAUGAAAACUUUUCUCCUUUUUUUUGCUCUCAGUUCAUCGUACAAUAACAAAGCAUUGUCAGGACUCUUGUAUGGGUUGUGUUCGAGGAAGUAUUAAGCCUUUACCUAAAACUCAAUGAAAGUGGUAGCCUAAUUCUGUGUUCAACAUGUGAUUUGAAUAAAUGAACAGGGUCUGUACAUGUUAGAAAACUAUUAUUGACCAUAAAUAUCAAUCUAAGUGUGGUACUGAAGUGACUUUGGUCAUGGUGUAGCAGGCUGAUUUUGUGUCCUGUUGGUUUCUGGGCAGAGUUUGACUGCUUCCUCCUCUUCAACAUUCCUCACACUGUUUGCCUGACUGUGGGUAAACAUCUGUCUGUGGGUGUGAAAAACACCGACACCGUGUAGUAGACUGUCUGACAUGACGCUCGGUAAAUAACACUAUAUAGUAAAAAUAUAGAAAACAGUGACGAGCACAAACAACGAUUGAUGCAGUCAAUUUCUGUCUCCACUAGAGGGCGGCAUCGUCUCAUAGAACUCAACCUGUUGACUCGUGCAGUGUUUAGCCCUGCUACAAUCUUUUGAAUUUACUCUGCUGACUGUAAAACACAUUUAGCUUCAUUUUCAAUGACAGUUUUCGACGUUUAGUGUUGAUAUUUCGAUGUAACACAAAUUUUAAGUGAAACCAGCGACUACAAAUCAUAGUUUAACAUAGAGUCUUUGUUUGCUUCAGUGGGAGCUAGUAUCUGUUGAGUGUUGAGAAGGACACAGCGGUUAUCAGGGAAACACCCAAGGCCGCAUAUAAAGAGAAAGAACCACCUGAUUGUACCGAUAAUAUUAGCCUGCUUGUGGUCUAAAUGGUGUAUCCAUUUUAAGUAUCACUAAAAUUGACUUUAUUUUGUACUUGUUGUGUUAACUACUCCGUAAAGCACUCAUAGCUAACGAUAGGCCUCCUUCAAACCACUGCUUUAUCUCACAUCUGCAUCAAUGACACUUUGGUAACUAAAGGGUGUACGUUCAGUAGUCGUUUUGGUCAUUAUUAAUAUAUAGUUUUGCUUUGUAAUAACUCUUAACGGGAAUAAUCGUGUCUCCUAUCGUGUGGCUUUUGUGAGCCUGCAGAUAAAAUACGUAUUUUAUUUUGUUUGCACAGAUGGGUUGGAUUUUUACCGAAACAAUAAUGCAGAAAAAAUGACACAAAAUCACGGUACUAAGAUAUUAGACUUACCCUGUAUUUAGCCUACUGAAAUAUAUAUAUAUAUAUCAGCCUCACAUAUAAAAUGUAAAAUGUUUGUUGAAAAAGUAAAAUCUAAAGGGUAUUAAAAAAAACAUGAACAAGACUCUUAAAAAUGAUGUCACCUGGAGUUUUUCUCCUUCCAAAAAAUCGGGAAAAAAUUGCAAAAAUCCUCGUUUUUUAUAUCCUAUAAUACGCAUGAAAGUUCUUUAUUCCAUCGUCUUUUCCUUCACAGAUGUUGGAUCUAGACUCAGUUGAAGCUUCUUAAAAUGACUCAAGAUUAGUCACAAGAUAGGCUUACACUUAUUCAUCAGAGGCCUGUGCUUGAUUAGUAAUCCCGCAAUGACACUCUGGCUGUGAUUUCUAUCUUUUUGUCUGAGUAUUGUAUUUUCGCUUUUUGUUUUGCAAAAUUUUAGUUUAGACCUGAAAAAAGAUGUCUGCUGAUCCUCUGCUGUCAAAACGCACUAAAAUGUCUCCGCAGUUCAUUAGAAAAGUCGAAGCAGUGUUUAGGAAAGAAAUGUUACUUUACUGUGCGUCCGUGAAUUAUCCGCAUUUUUCCUGAACCGUUGCGCUCAUUCUUGACGCAGCGCGAGGCUAUUUUGCAGCGAGUUUGCGCUUUUUAUUACUGCUGUGUACCGUAUUUAGCCUACAUUUCUCACUUCUGUACUUAUAAUCGUCUAUUUCAAGGAAAAAACUGAUUGAAUCUUAAAGUAUUCCUCGUGUAAAACAUCGAGCUCCAGUGAUUUUGUUGCGUUGUGAGUAUUUCAUAAUAUAGACCUAAAAUAAACUAGACACUGGAAUAUUUUACACCCCCGUGCUUUGAUAAAAAAAAAAUAGCAGGCUAAAUUGAUUAAAGUAAGAUAUUAAUCUUAAGAAGAGGGGAGGAACACCCUCACAUGAUAUGAAAUGACUGCAGCAUGUUGUUGACUGGUGUUUUAUUUCUCUGUAAACAUAAAAACAACAAGGAGCUGAUAAUGCAAAUGUCACAGAGGCUUCCUGUGUGAUGAGAAGGUAGACAUUUGACAUUUUGGUGUUGUUUUUUUCCUCCUCACACUUUCACACAUAGAAUCAUAAAGCUCACUCAAGCAGGGAUAAAUAAUAAUUAUCAGCAAUCUUUACUUUUCUUAAAGAUAUGAAGAUAGAGAGUGACCUAGAUCAAUGCAAAACAUUAGAUCUACUCGUAUAUCUAUUACUUUUAUUUGAAUAUGUUCAAGUUGAGUUUUUGAGUCAGAUUGGCAGAUUUAUUCAAUCCAACCACAAAGAGACCAAAGCAGGUAGAAUACUGUUCAGUAAUCUGAUUAUUAUAUUUGUACAAUAAUUCUCAGUCACAUUUAAAUACUUGAGUCUGCAGGGCUGAUAAAUGCCUCCUACUUAACUUCUGAGUCAUGCCGCUCCAUGAAAGAGAAAUGUGGCAUCAAGUCCUAAAACAUCUUCAAACGAGCAGCUGAUUGUGAAAACAACAUCAGGCUUUGAAUUUCAUUUUCUUUGAACUUUAAAUAUUUUAAGUUUCACAUCUUUCUCUUUGUGUGAGUGUGUUUUCAUGUUUCUGAGUCACCUGCGGUCUCGGGGAAGAUAAUAUUCACCCUGCUGCUGCCUCUCACUUUAAGUCAGCCGUUAAAAUCUAUUUAAAUAUUAGAAAUGCUAAAGGUUAAAUACAUGCUUUCUGGAGGCAGCAUACUACAGACAUCUACUGAGCCACCUGACACCUAAACAGAUAAGACCUGUUACUUUGUGGGUUGUGUAAAAUGAAUGGUGCAGAUAAACAAAAAAAAAAACACAUCAUUUAGGAGUUACUGUUAUGGAUUUUAAUGUUAAGAUUUAAAAACUUGAUUUUUAUAAUUUACAAAUGAUUUCAUGGUUAUUUUACAAUUAAGUGAUUAAUGUGAUGAUAAUUUUGUAGAGCCCACAAAAUCCCUACAUAAAAUUGUGCACUUUUAAAAGAAAAAUAAGGUGGAAACAAAAAAGGAGACACAAAAGUAGCUUUGACAGUGUGUGUAUGUCUCAUUGAGAAGUGAUAAACAUGAACUUUGUAUGAGGCUGCUCGCAUACUCAGGUACUGUGUCACAGACACGUUGUUUUGUUUUAAGUUUGUGGUCAUUUCGGUGGCCGAUAUUUAUGUUGUUGUAAAUUUUAUGAUAUAAUAACAACAGAAGAAUGUGUAGUUAUAACAUAUCCACCUUGGGCCUCUGACAGACUAAACAGUACAAUAAAUCCUCAUUUGAUACAGUUUGAACAAAAGCUGCAUGUGUUUUAGAUUUUACAUUGUGAGGAUAUGUAGCAGGAUGGCUGUAAGCCUGUUGGGCUGAGAUAGUUUGAGCUAUGUGUACCUGUUGAACGAGUAACAGAGAAGAAAGCUGUAGCUACAGGGCACACAAACUUUACAGUCAGAAAUGUGUGAAUACUGAGGAAUGAUGUUUUUUGCUCGCAGUGGGAUUUCUGUCUCUAUUUCUGUGAAACUGAACUCACGGUGUUAAAUACUUUGGAUGAAAGUGACGUCUUUGUCUUCGCUUUUGCUUCCCUGAUUGAAAAUCUCUUAUCUCUUAUCUACAGUUUGAAUCAUGGAGGAUUUCCAUUUAAACCGUAAUGAUAAGAAAAAGACAACCGCUAAAUUAUUGUGGUUAUGAGUCUCUCUCCGAUGCAUUAGGCUGGAGAUCUUUAUUUAGCUGUGGGGAGACACGUCUACAGGAUGUAUUCGUGACUAUGGGGCGUUUACAGCCCUCCUCCACACUGUAAAUUAAAGAGCAUUAUUUACACUAUGUGGAGCUAUAUCAAUCAAUCAAUCAGUUAGAGGUACAUACAUAAAAUAUGUUAAUGUUUGACUUUAGAUCUGCUCUGCUUUUUCAUAUGCAUUUCUUUAAGAAGCAUCUACUGUACUGGUAGUGUGUAAUAAAGUGACAGCUCGUGUUAUUCUCAGGGGGUACACAAGGUACCUUUAUGUCUAAGAAAAACACCACAGGUAGUUAUUUUAUUCAAGUGUGUUCAGUUCAUCAGUCAUUUGAUUCACAUUAAACUACAGUUUUAAAACAGCCAUGUGUAAAAUAAAGAUCCAACUAUCUGAGAUUGUAAGCUUCAAGCAGGAACUGGUUUUAAUUUUCAAUUAUGUUUGAAUCAUUCUGUGUUUCCCUUUACAUAAUUAGAUUUCCACUGCAAUUUUUUACAGAAAUACUCAUCCAAAUACAGAGAUCUAAGUGUGAUAUGAUCAGAGUUUCCUGGAGAGGACUCCCAGACUUCUGUCUCAGCAUGUUUAACUGAGCCUGUUAUUGUCUGUAUCAGGAGUUUCAGAGCUAUUCCAAUUCACUAACACCUCGGCCUUCAUUUUCUUUGCAGUUUUGCAUUAAUAUGGCACAGAACUGCACAAGUACAAACUUUAGAAAAGUUUUAAGAGAGUAAAGCAUUGUUAAACACCUGAUUGAAGCUCAGUUAGGAUUUUUACGUCCUAACACUCACAUUUAAACUUACCUCUGUACUAAGGGCUGAAGACAGUGCUGUUUUCAGUUACCAACAUGUAUUUCUCAAUGCUAAGUUCACUUUUUCUGCUCCCUACACACAGUCAGCUCAUCAGGUGUCAGAACGACUGUGUUAGCAUUUUUUGUUGCCUUGAUGCGUUAAGUAACCACACCAUUCAGGACCGAUAAGCAUUUUUUUCAGAGGAACUCCCCCAACAGCACUGCUCCGUGAACUACUCACAGCUGCAUUUGCCAAAUCUGUUCACAUCUACAAAACAAGAGGAAAAUAAAUCAUAUGUGACACUGACAGGAACUAUCCUACUCAUGAAGGUGACCCUUUCCCUCCACCUAACUGUGUGAUUCACAGAGGACUGCACCAGAACCAAUAACAACAUCACCUUGGAUGCUGGAUGUCUGGUUGUGUCUGCAGAGCAAUACACCAGAUGGGUCAGACACCAAGAAAGAUUCUUUGAGAUGUGGAAGAAAGUCUGAACAGACAAAAGUUGUUUCUGCAUCUGUGACUUUUCUGCAGCUUGUGGAUUUGAACAUUUGAAGAAUUUUUAAAAUCGUGUAGGCUUUGGUAGGUCCAGUUGUUUUUGUGCACUUAGACUUGAAUUUUUGAGCAAUUUGGGUGUCAUAAUUUUAAUCUUUUCCCAAAAACACCAUUUGGGAUCUUGUCAAUGCUAGUUUUAAUAAUGAAAAGACUAAGAGCUGAAAAAUACUCUGGGGCAGCAGUGGCUCGGCUGCUGGAAUCGGUCAUCUCACAAAAAGAAGGUUGGGGGUUCGAUUCCAGAGCUGUGUGCUGCAGGGUCCUUGGAUAAGACCUGCUGGCUGUGCCCAGUGGUGUGUGAAGGGAAUUAGUUGUCUGAAUGUUACAUCGCUUUUGAUAAAAAGUGUCUGCUAAAUGACAUUGUAAAAUAAAAUUGUAAACAGAAAUAGGAAGAAGACAUGAAUUGCUUGGAAUGAGCAGAAGAAAUCAGCCCACACAGUCAGAGAAUUUACUCUUAAGUGUCUUGAAAUGAGAGCUGACAUCUGUGAAUCCAUGAUCCCUAAGAGUUUUUUUUACUCUCCACAACCUUUUUAGCAAUGUUGCUGGCAUACGAUACCCUGACACAAGAUAUCUUUCUGGAAAUUAUUGGGUUAAUUCUGGUUCAGAUUAAGCCUUAUGGGAUUUCUUUUCCCAGGAGUAAUACAAAAACACCCUCAGACAUUUGAGGGUUUUAAGAGUUUAUUUGGUCACCUUUCGGCCUUUUCUUGGUAAGAAAGCUGAAGAGUGACAGGAAAUGUGGGGAGUAAAGAGUGGGAGGUGACAUGCAGUGAGGGUUUAUGGUCGGGACUUGAACCAGUGAUGAGGACUGUUGACUCAGUUUGUGGGUUGUACACUUAAAGCUGUUAAACCAACCCGGGCCUCAGAUUAAUGUGCAUGUUUGUUUGUUUUUUUAAACAUGAAGAUAUUUUUAUUCUCAGAGCAUUUGUUGAUAUAGGACAGUAGGUGAGAAAUCACGAAAGGGCAGAGGCUGGGAGUUGCACUUGCAGUAGAUGCAUCAAGGACUAAUGGGCGACUACUGAGCUGGCUGCCCCAACAUUAGUAUGAGUAAAAGAAAUCUCAGCAAAACAGUGUAAGAGGCUAUAAUGUGAUAUAACCCACAAUACAAUUAAAAGACAGUUUUAAACUUUGACAUCUAUGAAUUUUAAUAUUUAAUUAUGAGCAUCAAGCAGCAGCCGUUCAUUCUCAAAGGGACAUUUUAAUAAUCGAUCAACUUCCUUUUAACUGAGGAGAGGAUCUGCACUAAAAUAACCUCUGUAUGCGUGCUGACACAUUGGUAUUAAGCCAGUUAUGUAAGGCCUCCAUGCAAGAGGAUGUUGAAUCAAUAGCAGCAUUAAAAACAAACAGCAACAUCCCGGUGUUUACAUCCGACAGAAAUGGAUUAUCCUUAAACAUCUAGGUCACUUAAAUGGCUGAGUGUUAAGUGACGGCGCACAUUGUUUUGUAGAGAGGAGGUUCACUUGUCUGAUGUUUGUGUCUACUUACUGCUGUUGUGAAGCUUCAUAAGGAAAUGAGGGAAGGAUCCUGCCAUGAAGCAUGUCGGUUAUGGAAAUGAGAGAUGAUUAUCAUUAAGUCAUCCAGUCCCACUGACAGCACACUAACCCACACAAACACUUAGACCCAAAAGCUGCUAACACCCUCAUACCGUGUCACGCAGAUAAACACUCAAGACACCC
RNAcentral lists this long non-coding RNA (33350 nucleotides) under Xyrichtys novacula (pearly razorfish). Lineage: Eukaryota; Metazoa; Chordata; Actinopteri; Labriformes; Labridae. The record is from RNAcentral.